RNAcentral lists this ribosomal RNA (253 nucleotides) under uncultured bacterium. RNAcentral describes it as "partial 16S ribosomal RNA". It matches the Rfam family "Bacterial small subunit ribosomal RNA", at positions 524 to 776 of the family's 1533-position model. The record is from RNAcentral.
UACGUAGGGUCCGAGCGUUGUUCGGAUUUAUUGGGCGUAAAGGGUCCGUAGGCGGUCCGGAAAGUCUGAUGUGAAAGCCCACAGCUUAACUGUGGAACUGCAUUGGAAACUUCCAGACUAGAGUAUGAGAGGGGUAAAGGGAAUUCCCGGUGUAAGGGUGAAAUCUGCAGAGAUCGGGAGGAACACCAGUCGCGAAGGCGCUUUACUGGCUCAUUACUGACGCUCAGGGACGAAAGCUAGGGUAGCAAACGGG